Long non-coding RNA from Mytilus californianus (California mussel), 1980 nucleotides. RefSeq lists it as uncharacterized. The record is from RefSeq and is a predicted model, not a curated record. Lineage: Eukaryota; Metazoa; Mollusca; Bivalvia; Mytilida; Mytilidae. The transcript has 4 exons.
CUGAUGUAGAUAUUCAAUACAAAAACUACACCGAUGAAACAAAGACAAGACUUUUGAUAUGCAAUGCAACUGGAAUUCCCAGCAUAUACAAUUUCCAUGAUUGGGAACAUACAUCUGAUUAUGGUGACCACAUACGUUUUCUUUCCGGAAGUAAAGAUGGUAUUCUGUAUUUACCAGACAAUGUCAAGGACAACAAAUAUCAAGACAAUGGGUAUUAUAAAUGUACAGUGGACAACAACAUCCCCGAUGUAAAUGGCAAUAUUAAACAAAAUGCUGAAGUGUAUUUAGACGUGAAAGGCAAACCCGUUUUCGUCAUUGAUAGCACUUAUACAAUUUAUGGCGAAUACUAUCAGUCCGUCUCCGUAGCUGUCAACAUCUUUUGUAAUCCGAAGUAUACAACUUUAGAAAUAUUCCAUAAAAAUGAUAUCAAUUCUGAAUCAAACCUAAAGGUGAUAGAAGAUUACACAUCUGUCAUAGAUACUUUUCAUGGAACAAGAGUUCAUAUCAAGGGAUACCGGAUAACAAUCAGAAUUGGAAAUCUCACUGAUGAAUUCUUAACGGAAUAUACAUUAAAUGUAAUGAACGCUUUUGGCCAAAGUCAACAUAGAUUAUCAGUGCUUCGAGCAAGUCCUCCUGAUACGCCUUUAAACGUUGCCUUAAUGCCUGUGGCAAAUGACGUGAAAAUAGAAUGGAAUCCAAACUUCAAUGGUGGAUUUCAACAAUGCUUUUUUAUAGAAUAUCGUGACCAAGACAGUACAAUAUGGAUAGAAGUGCAGGCAUUCAAUACAACCACCAAUGCUGGAGCUUCCUGGACAGUUCACAAUCUGAAAUUCGGUCGAUCGUACAUCUUUAGAAUGUUUGCCCGAAAUAGAAUCGGGGAAAGCAAUAAAACUAAUGAAAUGUUUGUGACAAUUAACCAGGAGCGCACAAAUGUUCUAUUUUAUAGUAUAUUGACCGCAUCUGCUUCAGUGAUUUUGUUGUUGAUUAUUGUGUUUACUGCGUGUGCUUAUAAAAGACGUAUGAGCAGUAAUGUCAAGAUUAAUCACAGUUCUACUCAGACUUACAAUAUAGAAGCAGGUCAAUAUGAUGAAAUUGACGAGUAUCAAAUGGUACAUCGUCAUGAUGUAAUAACUGCUGCUAGAUAUGACAUACAAGAAACAAAUAUUGACAGCGAUUACGAACAACCAGUGGAUUCCUUGAGUACAGGCAGAAGCGUUAACGACCAGCAGAAUUUGUCGUCUACAAACAGUGAAAUCAGUGAAAAUGACAUUGAUGAAAAUCAUACGUUUACAAAGGACGUCAUUGUUAAUUCAUAUGAACAGUUAACUGUUGAUCCAGAACCCCCUUUACCAUACGACGCACUUAAUCAUUGAUUUUAUGUUUAACAUUUAGUUUAUUGAGAUGUCGUCAAUUUUGAUAUUAUCAAGUUUUGCGUUCAUGUUUUUUAUGAUUCCAUUUUGAUAGUUUUCAUGAUGCCUUUUAAAAUAUUCUGGGUGUUUUUUCUGUUUGUCCAAAAUAAUGGUAAAAAAUUACAAGAUUUUUUAAAACCAAUGAAUUUCAUUCGUGCGACAAGCGUGGUUGCAGGGGGUUCUAAUAUGCCCCUUAUGUAUAAAUUAUGAGCAAAUGAUAAACAAAUUACUUCAUAAAAACAGUAUAGUUGGUGGUUUACGUAAUAUAGAUAUUUUCAAUUCUUUUUUUAUUGAACUUGUUGAGAUAGUUGAAUGUAAAUAAACUAGCGUCUAUUGCGUUUUUGCAUAUUUUCCAUUAAUGUUUGUUGAUAUCUAUGAUGAAAAAAAUAUAUAAUUCAGGAAUAUGUUUUGAAAUAAAUCUAAAGGGUUAAAAAUAGGACCAAAAAAUCUGAUAUUUGGUAUUUAUGAUAACAUGUGGAAAACAGAUACAGUAUACUUACAAGAAAGUAAAUCCACACAAUUGUAGAUUGAGGAAAUAUUAGUUUCAGAUUGUACUUUAAUUGAAUAUUUU